GGUUAAUAUUCCUGUACUUGGUGUUACUGCGAAGGGGGGACGGAGAAGGCUAUGUUAGCCGGGCGACGGUUGUCCCGGUUUAAGCAUGUAGGCGGGUGUUUUAGGUAAAUCCGGAACGCUACUAACGCUGAGGUGUGAUGACGAGGCACUACGGUGCUGAAGUAACAAAUGCCCUGCUUCCAGGAAAAGCCUCUAAGCAUCAGGUAACAUCAAAUCGUACCCCAAACCGACACAGGUGGUCAGGUAGAGAAUACCAAGGCGCUUGAGAGAACUCGGGUGAAGGAACUAGGCAAAAUGGUGCCGUAACUUCGGGAGAAGGCACGCUGAUAUGUAGGUGAAGUGAUUUACUCAUGGAGCUGAAAUCAGUCGAAGAUACCAGCUGGCUGCAACUGUUUAUUAAAAACACAGCACUGUGCAAACACGAAAGUGGACGUAUACGGUGUGACGCCUGCCCGGUGCCGGAAGGUUAAUUGAUGGGGUUAGCGGCAACGCGAAGCUCUUGAUCGAAGCCCCGGUAAACGGCGGCCGUAACUAUAACGGUCCUAAGGUAGCGAAAUUCCUUGUCGGGUAAGUUCCGACCUGCACGAAUGGCGUAAUGAUGGCCAGGCUGUCUCCACCCGAGACUCAGUGAAAUUGAACUCGCUGUGAAGAUGCAGUGUACCCGCGGCAAGACGGAAAGACCCCGUGAACCUUUACUAUAGCUUGACACUGAACACUGGUCCUUGAUGUGUAGGAUAGGUGGGAGGCUUUGAAGCGCGGACGCCAGUUCGUGUGGAGCCAUCCUUGAAAUACCACCCUUUAAUGGCUGGUGUUCUAACGUAGACCCGUAAUCCGGGUUGCGGACAGUGUCUGGUGGGUAGUUUGACUGGGGCGGUCUCCUCCUAAAGAGUAACGGAGGAGCACGAAGGUUAGCUAAUCCUGGUCGGACAUCAGGAGGUUAGUGCAAAGGCAUAAGCUAGCUUGACUGCGAGAGUGACGGCUCAAGCAGGUGCGAAAGCAGGUCUUAGUGAUCCGGUGGUUCUGAAUGGAAGGGCCAUCGCUCAACGGAUAAAAGGUACUCCGGGGAUAACAGGCUGAUACCGCCCAAGAGUUCAUAUCGACGGCGGUGUUUGGCACCUCGAUGUCGGCUCAUCACAUCCUGGGGCUGAAGUAGGUCCCAAGGGUAUGGCUGUUCGCCAUUUAAAGUGGUACGCGAGCUGGGUUUAGAACGUCGUGAGACAGUUCGGUCCCUAUCUGCCGUGGGCGCUGGAGAACUGAGGGGGGCUGCUCCUAGUACGAGAGGACCGGAGUGGACGCAUCACUGGUGUUCGGGUUGUCAUGCCAAUGGCAUUGCCCGGUAGCUAAAUGCGGAAAAGAUAAGUGCUGAAAGCAUCUAAGCACGAAACUUGCCCCGAGAUGAGUUCUCCCUGACCCUUUAAGGGUCCUGAAGGAACGUUGAAGACGACGACGUUGAUAGGUCGGGUGUGUAAGCGUAGCGAUACGUUGAGCUAACCGAUACUAAUGAACCGUGAGGCUUAACCUU
Molecule: ribosomal RNA, 1522 nt
Filed under: Salmonella enterica
Lineage: Bacteria; Pseudomonadati; Pseudomonadota; Gammaproteobacteria; Enterobacterales; Enterobacteriaceae
Description: partial 23S ribosomal RNA
Rfam family: Bacterial large subunit ribosomal RNA
Source: RNAcentral